Small nuclear RNA from Cebus imitator (Panamanian white-faced capuchin), 107 nucleotides. Lineage: Eukaryota; Metazoa; Chordata; Mammalia; Primates; Cebidae. The record is from Ensembl.
GUGCUAUCACAUUAGCGGCACAUAUACUGAAGCUGGAACGAGGCAGUGGAGAUUAGCACAGCCCUUGCAUGAGGAUGACACAGGUUUAUAAAGUAAUUCAUAUUUUU